This 503-nucleotide ribosomal RNA is filed under the name uncultured bacterium. RNAcentral describes it as "partial 16S ribosomal RNA". It matches the Rfam family "Bacterial small subunit ribosomal RNA", at positions 30 to 523 of the family's 1533-position model. The record is from RNAcentral.
AUUGAACGCUGGCGGCAGGCUUAACACAUGCAAGUCGAGCGGGGUGAUGGUGCUUGCACUAUCACUUAGCGGCGGACGGGUGAGUAAUGCUUAGGAAUCUGCCUAUUAGUGGGGGACAACAUCUCGAAAGGGAUGCUAAUACCGCAUACGUCCUACGGGAGAAAGCAGGGGAUCACUUGUGACCUUGCGCUACUAGAUGAGCCUAAGUCGGAUUAGCUAGUUGGUGGGGUAAAGGCCUACCAAGGCGACGAUCUGUAGCGGGUCUGAGAGGAUGAUCCGCCACACUGGGAAUGAGACACGGCCCAGACUCCUACGGGAGGCAGCAGUGGGGAAUAUUGGACAAGGGGGGGAACCCUGAUCCAGCCAUGCCGCGUGUGUGAAGAAGGCCUUAUGGUUGUAAAGCACUUUAAGCGAGGAGGAGGCUCCUUUGGUUAAUACCCAAGAUGAGUGGACGUUACUCGCAGAAUAAGCACCGGCUAACUCUGUGCCAGCCGCCGCGGUAA